This 662-nucleotide long non-coding RNA is filed under the name Mus pahari (shrew mouse). RNAcentral describes it as "predicted gene 11201 (MGP_PahariEiJ_G0002575.1)". Lineage: Eukaryota; Metazoa; Chordata; Mammalia; Rodentia; Muridae. The record is from RNAcentral.
AAGAGGCAGGCAGAGGCAACUCCAGAGCCUUUGUGUCACUUUCCUUCUGGGCCCUGGAAGUGGCCACCCUGGCCACCUUGGCUCACAUGACUCAGAGGACAGUUCCCAGUUCUGAGAAAGCUUCAGGUGGUCCUGAUUGUGGCCGUCCAUCUCCAGCAGCCGAAUGGCCACCUCGCCAUGCCAACGGCCUCGGUGCACCCGGCCCCAGCGGCCCUGCCCAAUGGGCUCGCCCAGUUCCACCUGUUCAAAGGGGAUGUCCCACUCUUGCAGGAGCUGGGAUCACAGGCGUGCAUCACCACACCUGACUGAGAUGAAGACAGCGAUUCUUGGCCGGGAUCAGAAACCACCUAUCAAGCUCUGCAAGCACAGAGAUGCCAACCCCCACCCCAGGCUGACUGACUUAGCUCUCAGGCCCAGUGAGAAGGUAAUUCCAGUGACGACCAGCAGGGGGUGCUGUGUGUUAAGGCUGGGAAAGGCAAAGCCAGCUGACAGAUGCCAAUGCCUCAGUGUGCCCCUGCACCAGUUAGUUCCCUGUACGUUCUGUAAAAGGCUAGGCAGGAUGUCCACACCUCCAGGACUUUUCGCCCUCCUGCCCAGCUGCAGUGGACUCAAGCGUGUGGGGAGAAGGCACCCGGCGGGCUGGUCCCAGCAAGGGGCAGUUA